Molecule: ribosomal RNA, 492 nt
Filed under: uncultured bacterium
Lineage: Bacteria
Description: partial 16S ribosomal RNA
Rfam family: Bacterial small subunit ribosomal RNA
Source: RNAcentral
AGUGAACGCUGGCGGUAGGCCUAACACAUGCAAGUCGAACGGCAGCACAGUAAGAGCUUGCUCUUACGGGUGGCGAGUGGCGGACGGGUGAGGAAUACAUCGGAAUCUACUUUUUCGUGGGGGAUAACGUAGGGAAACUUACGCUAAUACCGCAUACGACCUACGGGUGAAAGCAGGGGAUCUUCGGACCUUGCGCGAUUGAAUGAGCCGAUGUCGGAUUAGCUAGUUGGCGGGGUAAAGGCCCACCAAGGCGACGAUCCGUAGCUGGUCUGAGAGGAUGAUCCGCCACACUGGAACUGAGACACGGUCCAGACUCCUACGGGAGGCAGCAGUGGGGAAUAUUGGACAAUGGGCGCAAGCCUGAUCCAGCCAUAUCGCGUGGGUGAAGAAGGCCUUCGGGUUGUAAAGCCCUUUUGUUGGGAAAGAAAAGCAGCAGGUUAAUACCCCGCUGUUCUGACGGUACCCAAAGAAUAAGCACCGGCUAACUUCGUG